GUGGAUUAGAUACCCUGGUAGUCCAUGCCGUAAACGAUGUCAACUAGUUGUUGGGAGACUUGAUCUCUUAGUGACGCAGCUAACGCAUUAAGUUGACCGCCUGGGGAGUACGGUCGCAAGACUAAAACUCAAAUGAAUUGACGGGGGCCCGCACAAGCGGUGGAGCAUGUGGUUUAAUUCGAUGCAACGCGAAGAACCUUACCUACUCUUGACAUCUAGCGAACCCUGUAGAGAUACGGGGGUGCCUUCGGGAAUGCUAAGACAGGUGCUGCACGGCGGUCGCCAGCU
Molecule: ribosomal RNA, 288 nt
Filed under: uncultured bacterium
Lineage: Bacteria
Description: partial 16S ribosomal RNA
Rfam family: Bacterial small subunit ribosomal RNA
Source: RNAcentral